UGGGGAAUCUUGGACAAUGGGGGCAACCCUGAUCCAGCCAUGCCGCGUGAGUGAUGAAGGCCUUAGGGUCGUAAAGCUCUUUCGCCUGUGAAGAUAAUGACGGUAGCAGGUAAAGAAACCCCGGCUAACUCCGUGCCAGCAGCCGCGGUAAUACGGAGGGGGUUAGCGUUGUUCGGAAUUACUGGGCGUAAAGCGCACGUAGGCGGACCAGAAAGUUGGGGGUGAAAUCCCGGGGGCUCAACCCCGGAACUGCCUCCAAAACUAUUGGUCUAGAGUUCGAGAGAGGUGAGUGGAAUUCCAAGUGUAGAGGUGAAAUUCGUAGAUAUUUGGAGGAACACCAGUGGCGAAGGCGGCUCACUGGCUCGAUACUGACGCUGAGGUGCGAAAGUGUGGGGAGCAAACAGGAUUAGAUACCCUGGUAGUCCACACCGUAAAACGAUGAAUGCCCAGUCGUCGGGUAGCAUGCUAUUCGGUGACACACCUAACGGAUUAAGCAUUCCGGCCUGGGGAGUACGGUCGCAAGAUUAAAA
This 530-nucleotide ribosomal RNA is filed under the name uncultured bacterium. RNAcentral describes it as "bacterial SSU rRNA". It matches the Rfam family "Bacterial small subunit ribosomal RNA", at positions 355 to 899 of the family's 1533-position model. The record is from RNAcentral.